Molecule: ribosomal RNA, 253 nt
Filed under: uncultured bacterium
Lineage: Bacteria
Description: partial 16S ribosomal RNA
Rfam family: Bacterial small subunit ribosomal RNA
Source: RNAcentral
UACGUAGGGUGCAAGCGUUAAUCGGAAUUACUGGGCGUAAAGCGUGCGCAGGCGGUUGUGCAAGACAGAUGUGAAAUCCCCGGGCUUAACCUGGGAACUGCAUUUGUGACUGCACGGCUAGAGUGCGGCAGAGGGGGAUGGAAUUCCGCGUGUAGCAGUGAAAUGCGUAGAUAUCGGGAGGAAUACCAGUGGCGAAGGCGGCAUCCUGGACCGGCAUUGACGCUGAGGAGCGAAAGCUAGGGGAGCAAACGGG